GACGGAGGAUGCAAGCGUUAUCCGGAAUUAUUGGGCGUAAAGAGCUCGUAGGCGGUUUGUCGCGUCUGCCGUGAAAGUCCGGGGCUCAACUCCGGAUCUGCGGUGGGUACGGGCAGACUAGAGUGCGGUAGGGGAGACUGGAAUUCCUGGUGUAGCGGUGAAAUGCGCAGAUAUCAGGAGGAACACCGGUGGCGAAGGCGGGUCUCUGGGCCGAUACUGACGCUGAGGAGCGAAAGCGUGGGGAGCGAACAGG
RNAcentral lists this ribosomal RNA (253 nucleotides) under uncultured bacterium. RNAcentral describes it as "partial 16S ribosomal RNA". It matches the Rfam family "Bacterial small subunit ribosomal RNA", at positions 524 to 776 of the family's 1533-position model. The record is from RNAcentral.